GAGUUUGAUCGUGGCUCAGAACGAACGCUGGCGGCAUGCCUAACACAUGCAAGUCGAACGGGAUCCAGGCUUCGGCCUGGUGAGAGUGGCGGACGGGUGAGUAACGCGUGGGAACCUGCCCAAUGGUCUGGGAUAACCGCGGGAAACUGCGGCUAAUACCGGAUAAGCCCGAGAGGGGAAAGAUUUAUCGCCGAUGGAGGGGCCCGCGUCCGAUUAGGUAGUUGGUGAGGUAACGGCUCACCAAGCCGACGAUCGGUAGCUGGUCUGAGAGGAUGAUCAGCCACACUGGGACUGAGAUACGGCCCAGACUCCUACGGGAGGCAGCAGUGGGGAAUAUUGGACAAUGGGGGCAACCCUGAUCCAGCAAUGCCGCGUGAGUGAUGAAGGCCUUAGGGUUGUAAAGCUCUUUUGGCGGGGACGAUGAUGACGGUACCCGCAGAAUAAGCCCCGGCCAACUUCGUGCCAGCAGCCGCAGU
This 476-nucleotide ribosomal RNA is filed under the name uncultured Alphaproteobacteria bacterium. Its description in RNAcentral is "bacterial SSU rRNA". It matches the Rfam family "Bacterial small subunit ribosomal RNA", at positions 9 to 521 of the family's 1533-position model. Lineage: Bacteria; Pseudomonadati; Pseudomonadota; Alphaproteobacteria. The record is from RNAcentral.